This 253-nucleotide ribosomal RNA is filed under the name uncultured bacterium. RNAcentral describes it as "partial 16S ribosomal RNA". It matches the Rfam family "Bacterial small subunit ribosomal RNA", at positions 524 to 776 of the family's 1533-position model. The record is from RNAcentral.
UACGUAGGUGGCGAGCGUUGUCCGGAUUUACUGGGCGUAAAGAGCGCGCAGGCGGUCGUACAAGUCGCGUGUGAAAGCCCCCGGCUCAACUGGGGAGGGUCACGCGAUACUGUUCGACUCGAAGGCAGGAGAGGGAAGCGGAAUUCCCGGUGUAGUGGUGAAAUGCGUAGAUAUCGGGAGGAACACCAAUGGCGAAGGCAGCACUCUGGGACGUGACUGACGCUGAGACGCGAAAGCGUGGGGAGCAAACAGG